UUCGAAUUAAAAAAUUUAGGUCACCGUUCUAUAAUAUAAUUUACAAGAAAUUCCCUUACAUAUUUUUAUUACAAUCUUUUAUCCUCUAACUUCUACAAAGUUUAAAAAACGUAUCUGUUCAGCCCACUUAAACCCGCGACCAGUAGUUCGUGGCCUCGGUCUCAGGCUAGUUCAUACAAAAGGACCACCAUCACCGGGACAGCGAAGCCCGUUAAAAUUGAGACCGACCCACUUAGGCCCGGGCUGGUCCAAAUGCCACCCUUAUACUCAAUCUUAUACUUGAGCUUUGGCUUGACGAAUCGUUGGCAGGCUGUUGAAAAAUUUGCAGUCCCAGUGAAAUUGAUCUUUGAAAGUGAAUCUGUUAUAAUUCAUUCCAAGAAUAAGAAAAGAGUUUCUAUAAUUGGUCCAUGAUUGCCGGUCGUUUCCUUCUUCGAAGUAGAAUUUGUCAUAAAUUCUCCUUAAGUUGUUCCUUCGUUUAUGGGAUUGAUAGACUUCUUUUUUCGACACGUAUCUUCAGCAAUAAGGGCAACUGUAAAUCUUGGUCCUUUCGUUAUUGUAUCAACAAUCCUUGUUUUCAUAUUUGCUUCAAUCUUGAAUUUUCCUUACUUGUUUCCAUUGAAAGAUAUUUGACUUGAUUCUUUUACUACUUACUUUCUUGACGUUGUCCGUACAUCAUAGAGAUAUUUGCUCAUAACCUUUAUUUCAUCUCUCAUGAUCUGUACCAUAGUAAUAUAUUAUUUUUCAUCAUUGAAAUCUAUAUCAAACAGUAAAAACAUUGCGUCAAUUGAAGAGGAAAGAGGAACAUUUUAAUGGUACUGAGGAAUCAGAAGAAGAAUAAACUUUAGCCAAGGAACAACUAGAAACUGGUACUUGAAUUGUCAUAAUGACUUUAUUAACAACUUUUAUUUGGACAUGAGUUAAACUUUAUGCCAAAUAUUAAAUGAAGUUACUGAAGAAAGAAUGACUUGAGGUCGAAUUAUGUUUUUGUGGGAAGAGAUAUGCAAUUGAAGCUUUUGCAAGUUAUGCUCACGAGUGCCCUCCAGUAGUACCUUCCCCUUUACUGUCACAAAACAAAAAAUGAGGGAAAAACUGAAAAUCACAUUUGGUAAGAAGGAAAUGCCAUCAGUGGCAGCUGUUGAGGAGGUGAGGCUGGUAGUGAGUGAUAGAGAGGAAGCCAUUAAUGUGAGUCAUGCUACUCUGAUACCAUAGAAGGGUUUGAACAUAGGAAGAAAAU
This 1234-nucleotide long non-coding RNA is filed under the name Nicotiana benthamiana. RNAcentral describes it as "long non-coding RNA (NBEN_LNC038958)". The record is from RNAcentral. Lineage: Eukaryota; Viridiplantae; Streptophyta; Magnoliopsida; Solanales; Solanaceae.